GGCCUUCAUGGUUCGGAAUGCUCGUCACGGCCAGGGCCCCGGUUUGGGUCGUGAUAGAGCAUUUGCCUCGAAGCAUAGCCCAACUUGGUGCUCUUCGAUGCUUGGACUUAUCACAUUGCAAGAGGCUUACACAGCUGCCAGAAUUUCCAGUUCAAUUAGAUAUAAUAGAAGCAGACUGGACAAAUUAUUGGAUCUGUAAUUCGCUAUUUCGGAAUCUCUCAUUAUUGCAGCACGACAUCUCUGCUUCAGAUUCCUUGUCGCUUAGAGUGAUUACAGGUUGGCGGUGGCAUGGGAUGCCAAGGUUCCCAUACCAGGGAAUUGAUGGUGUAUCGGUCUCUUUGUCUGAAAAUUGGUACAUACAUGAUAGCUUCUUGGGAUUUGCUGUAUGUUAUCAUGGCAUAUUAACUGACAUCACGGCUCACUUUAUUCCCUUAUAUGAUGAUGGGAUGUCGUGCAUCACACGGAAACUUGUCUUAUCCAACCACUCAAAAUGUUCUCUAGAACGUAAUGGUAUUCAUUUUUUCUUGAUACCUUUUGUUGGUUUAUGGGAUAUUUCUAAGGCAAAUGGAAAAACGCCAAAUGACUAUAGGCACAUCAUGUUAUUUUCCUCCGAAAAAAUUAAGUAUAUAUUUCGUUUGUUGUAUAAGAUGAACUAGGAGUUUAGGCCUUGUUGCAAAUAAAGGAAAAUAACAAUGAAUAUUGCCUCGGGACAAGGAGGACCAGAUUUGAUGAUAGCGAACACCAUGAUGAAGCCAGUUGCUCCUCUUCUAAGAAACAAACAUCAACUGCCAAGAAUAUAGAGCUCAUUGAUGGGUGAUUUACAUUUCAUCUUGUCUCCAUUUAUGCUGGAUUAACCAAGAUGAAUAUGUGCAAGACAAGAAAACUUUGCCACAACAGCUGGAUGAAAGAAGCAUUGAACCUACUAGUAAGUUCCCUCACAUCAAAAGGCAAACGGAGCAAAGGAGAACUAUUUCCAGUAAUCAAACGUACCUCCACCGAUAGAGCAACUAUUCUUUCAUUGGGAUGUAGAGCUCAAAUACUUUCUCGGCCACCACCAAGAUCUACCGAAGUAGCAUAGUUCUUUAUCGAUUCCAAUCCACUGUUAAAUCUGCGUGUGGUAGCAAUACGAAGUACAUUUUUAUCCUCUCACAAUUAGAGUUGUGUGACAUCGCAUAGAAUUAGAAUCAAACAAGUUGUGUGACUUUUUCUGCUACCUUGGAAAAUUUACAAUUGAACGAGCAAUUCAAUUGCAGAGAAGAGAGAUGGGCAUGCAUUGGUUUUUGGACUUUUGGAGGGAGGUGAUUCGACUGGAUAUGGAGCAAUUACAACUUACUGAAGACAUGACCCUAGAUAGGAAGGUGUGGAGUAUGCAUAUUAGGGUAGAAGGCUAGUUGCAAGGUGUGCUUUAAUUUGUUUUUGUUGUCCCUACUAAAGUCGCAACAAAAUUUUAAAUUUUCGGAUGUAAAUAG
Long non-coding RNA from Capsicum annuum, 1469 nucleotides. RefSeq lists it as uncharacterized. The record is from RefSeq and is a predicted model, not a curated record. The transcript has 3 exons. Lineage: Eukaryota; Viridiplantae; Streptophyta; Magnoliopsida; Solanales; Solanaceae.